AUUGAACGCUGGCGGCAGGCCUAACACAUGCAAGUCGAGCGAGCGGCGGACGGGUGAGUAAUGUUUGGGAAACUGCCUGAUGGAGGGGGAUAACUACUGGAAACGGUAGCUAAUACCGCAUACCAUCAGAUGUGCCCCGAUGGGAUUAGUUAGGUGGUGGGGUAACGGCUCACCAAGGCGACGAUCCCUAGCUUGUCUGAGAGGAUGACCAGCCACACUGGAACUGAGACACGGUCCAGACUCCAACUGGAGGCAGCAGUGGGGAAUAUUGCACAAUGGGCGCAAGCCUGAUGCAGCAAUGCCGCGUGUGUGAAGAAGGCUUUCGGGUUGUAAAGCACUUUCAGCGGGGAGGCGGUACCCGCAGAAGAAGCAACGGCUAACUCCGUGCCAGCAGCCGCGGUAAUAC
Molecule: ribosomal RNA, 406 nt
Filed under: uncultured bacterium
Lineage: Bacteria
Description: partial 16S ribosomal RNA
Rfam family: Bacterial small subunit ribosomal RNA
Source: RNAcentral